CCCUUCUUUUAAAGCACCCUGCUAACAUUGUGAAGGUGAAGCCUCUGGGCCUGGCUCUUGCAGACAUGUAAGCAUGGGUACACCAAGGAAGGAUAUAAAAGGCAAAGGGUUGCAAACGAGGCUAGGACGGACCUCUUUCCUAAUGUCCAGUGUCCUUUUCCUCAAGGCUCUAUGCUACAGGU
Esox lucius (northern pike) is the source of this 182-nucleotide small nucleolar RNA. Ensembl annotates it as small nucleolar RNA SNORA81. The record is from Ensembl. Lineage: Eukaryota; Metazoa; Chordata; Actinopteri; Esociformes; Esocidae.